This 402-nucleotide ribosomal RNA is filed under the name uncultured bacterium. RNAcentral's name for it is "partial 16S ribosomal RNA". It matches the Rfam family "Bacterial small subunit ribosomal RNA", at positions 362 to 774 of the family's 1533-position model. The record is from RNAcentral.
UAUUGCACAAUGGACGCAAGUCUGAUGCAGCAACGCCGCGUGAGGGAUGACGGCCUUCGGGUUGUAAACCUCUUUUAGUAAGGAAGAAGCCUUCGGGUGACGGUACUUGCAGAAAAAGCACCGGCUAACUACGUGCCAGCAGCCGCGGUAAUACGUAGGGUGCAAGCGUUGUCCGGAAUUAUUGGGCGUAAAGAGCUCGUAGGCGGUUUGUCGCGUCUGCUGUGAAAUCUGGUGGCUCAACCAUCAGCGUGCAGUGGGUACGGGCAGGCUAGAGUGCGGUAGGGGAGAUUGGAAUUCCUGGUGUAGCGGUGGAAUGCGCAGAUAUCAGGAGGAACACCGAUGGCGAAGGCAGAUCUCUGGGCCGCUACUGACGCUGAGGAGCGAAAGCAUGGGGAGCGAACA